RNAcentral lists this ribosomal RNA (513 nucleotides) under uncultured bacterium. Its description in RNAcentral is "partial 16S ribosomal RNA". It matches the Rfam family "Bacterial small subunit ribosomal RNA", at positions 28 to 507 of the family's 1533-position model. The record is from RNAcentral.
GACGAACGCUGGCGGCGUGCUUAACACAUGCAAGUCGAACGAAAAGAGGGAAAGAGCUUGCUCUUUCCGGAAUUGAGUGGCAAACGGGUGAGUAACACGUAAACAACCUGCCUUCAGGAUGGGGACAACAGACGGAAACGACUGCUAAUACCGAAUAAGUUCCAAGGGCCGCAUGGCCCAUGGAAGAAAAGGUGGCCUCUACCUGUAAGCUAUCGCCUGAAGAGGGGUUUGCGUCUGAUUAGCUGGUUGGAGGGGUAACGGCCCACCAAGGCGACGAUCAGAGGCCGGUCUGAGAGGAUGAACGGCCACACUGGGACUGAGACACGGUCCAGACUCCUACGGGAGGCAGCAGUGGGGAAUCUUCCGCAAUGGGCGAAAGCCUGACGGAGCAACGCCGCGUGAGUGAUGACGGCCUUCGGGUUGUAAAACUCUGUGAUCCGGGACGAAAAGGCAGAGUGCGAAGAACAAACUGCAUUGACGGUACCGGAAAAGCAAGCCACGGCUAACUACGUG